GGUUAAGCGACUAAGCGUACACAGUGGAUGCCCUGGCAGUCAGAGGCGAUGAAGGACAUGCUAAUCUGCGAUAAGCGUCGGUAAGGUGAUAUGAACCGUUAUAACCGGCGAUUUCCGAAUGGGGCAACCC
Molecule: ribosomal RNA, 130 nt
Filed under: cotton phyllosphere bacterium L
Lineage: Bacteria
Description: partial 23S ribosomal RNA
Rfam family: Bacterial large subunit ribosomal RNA
Source: RNAcentral